AGUGAACGCUGGCGGUAGGCCUAACACAUGCAAGUCGAACGGCAGCACAGUAAGAGCUUGCUCUUACGGGUGGCGAGUGGCGGACGGGUGAGGAAUACAUCGGAAUCUACUUUUUCGUGGGGGAUAACGUAGGGAAACUUACGCUAAUACCGCAUACGACCUACGGGUGAAAGCAGGGGAUGUUCGGACCUUGCGCGAGUGAAUGAGCCGAUGUCGGAUUAGCUAGUUGGCGGGGUAAAGGCCCACCAAGGCGACGAUCCGUAGCUGGUCUGAGAGGAUGAUCAGCCACACUGGAACUGAGACACGGUCCAGACUCCUACGGGAGGCAGCAGUGGGGAAUAUUGGACAAUGGGCGCAAGCCUGAUCCAGCCAUACCGCGUGGGUGAAGAAGGCCUUCGGGUUGUAAAGCCCUUUUGUUGGGAAAGAAAAGCAGCAGGUUAAUCCCCCGCUGUUCUGACGGUACCCAACGAAUAAGCACCGGCUAACUUCGUG
This 492-nucleotide ribosomal RNA is filed under the name uncultured bacterium. RNAcentral's name for it is "partial 16S ribosomal RNA". It matches the Rfam family "Bacterial small subunit ribosomal RNA", at positions 29 to 507 of the family's 1533-position model. The record is from RNAcentral.